AAAGUGAUAUAAAAUUUCUGAUUUCAAACUACUAGAAUAUUUUUUCUUAAUUUUCAUUAUAUUUUUCACACCUUUUCGCGGAGUUUCUUUCGGGCGAGCGUGGAAAUUUAUUUGCUAUAAAAUUAAAUAUAAAAUCUUUACAGAAUGCAUUCAAUUUUAAUUUUCCACUGACAAAGGCAUUAAUUCUUCAUAACAGGUCCAUCAAAGCCGAUGGUAGACGUACACGAAGCUCGUUUAAGCGGACAAGAUUAAAAAAGUUGAUGAAAUAUUCGUUAAAUAAAGAUCUUUGUGGUAGUGUAUAUACAUAUUUACACAAUUAUAAACGGUACUCCCCGAAUAAACCAAAUUGCAUGCAAGAAAGAACGCAAGUGCGGGAAAAAUUUGGCUGGCUCAGUGAAUUGUGUUCAGCCAUUGCGUUAACACUAACAAAAAGGUAAGACGAUACGAAACUCUCGCUAAUUGCAGAUAUGAAAUUGCGUUCCUCGAUUAAUUUUUCGAGGCUGGUAACAAAGCCAAAUGACAGAACUUCGAACAGCCUAUCAUUUCGAAGCCUUAGGACCUCUCAGUGAAUAAUGAUUCAAAGCGCUCUCACGAAUUAAAGAGCUUUCGGCGCGAAUUCUCUCAUUGUCUACUAUUUCCUGUCGACUAAAAAUAAUUGCCUUUGACGAGAUGUUUUGAUUUCGACUCUGUCAGAGGUUGCCUGUUGGGAAUUGACUCGUUUAAGUAUAUCUUCAGCACCCUCUAGACCAGAACAAGUGAUAUCUUCCAAUACAUCUCGGCCGCUUUUGAAUGCCCUGUGUCUUUCACAUGCUCAAACUUUCGACAAACUCGAAAAAACACGUCCACUGUAGAACAAAAUAAAAAGCCAAAGUAUUGGGCGUGUCUAUGACGAGUUGUAAUAAUCUCGCCAACACAUUAAAUAGCAAAUUAUCCUUAAUUAAACUAAAAUUAAAACACCUCGACCUUUUGUACCAAGCCAGAAUAAUGCCCACUUAAGCCGAUAAAAAGUUUUUUUUACGGCAAAUGACCAACUUCUUUCAAAGAUAGGAAGCAGAAAGCAAUGUUUACAAGCGCCAACUAUGAGCCUUCGCCACCGUCACCGUCACCGCCACACAAGUAACGAUUCACAAAGAAGAAAGUAACUCAAUUGAAACAGGUGGCAUUACCACAGCAAACAGCAGUAGUUGCCAUGGCAACAAUCCGCCUGUACAAUCGCUGAAAAGUAAAUAAAAUAUUUGUGAACGCAGCAACACACAAACAGAUAUACAAACACAGAAGAAGCAGCAUAAAGUGUAGUCACAGUACAAAAGUUACGCUUCCCGGAGUGUGAGUAGUCCAACGCCAACGCUGCUGCUUCGCUUUGCUGGUCACUCGGGCGUGUAUGUAAUGUGCAUGUUGCACUUUGGUUGUUGUACUCACACAAACGUACACGGUUGUUGUGUUGAAUAUAGAAAUAAAAUUGGCAUACAAAUAAAUGUUUUUAAACAAAUAUGCGUACACAUUAGGGUGUACCAAUUUUUUUUUUUUUAUUUUUUAUUAAUUUUUAUAUCUUUUGAUUUUGUGCUCGGGAAGCGCUGACAAUUUUA
Molecule: long non-coding RNA, 1586 nt
Organism: Ceratitis capitata (Mediterranean fruit fly)
Lineage: Eukaryota; Metazoa; Arthropoda; Insecta; Diptera; Tephritidae
Exons: 3
Source: RefSeq, a predicted model, not a curated record